Molecule: transfer RNA, 93 nt
Filed under: compost metagenome
Description: tRNA-Lys
Source: RNAcentral
CGCACUUCGGCAUGCAGGUCGGUGGCGCUGGAGCGCUCUUGCCGCUCCUGGCGUUCGAACAGGAAGCUGCCGCGUUCUUCGCGCAGGUGCACC